Long non-coding RNA from Gadus morhua (Atlantic cod), 6014 nucleotides. The record is from Ensembl. Lineage: Eukaryota; Metazoa; Chordata; Actinopteri; Gadiformes; Gadidae.
UGCACGGCUCUGUGUCGAGGGGUGGGGGCAGGGAGUCCUGAAAGGUGGGGGAGGAGUUAAACUGAACUCCGAAGAGAAGCUAAUUUCAAAUCAUCUCUCUCUCAUCGUACAGUAUAGCUUUAAGUCAUCUGCAUCUCAAAGGCUUGGGGUGCGUCCCAUUUCUACCCCUUACCCCUCCCCCUUACCCCUCCCCCUUGGUUUGAAGGGGUAAGGGUGUCCCAAUUCUCAUUUUGGUUAAGGGGUAGGGCGAAGACAAAAGGCUACGUAGCCCUUGAAAUGAAGCGAAAACGUAGCUUGAAACGAAGCUAUCCAAGGACCACACUUCAAAGGGAGGGCUUCGAGGAAAAUCCGGCCGAAAAUGCAUUUUUACUAGUUGUUAUCAUUCGGACUCAUUAUGUAAAGUUGACUGUAUAUUCAGCUCGAAGUCAUACACGGACAAUGCGAUCUCUGAGCUCGAUAUAAAACAUGACAUAACGGUAAAUAACCGUUGAACUAUACAUACAAGAUUUUGGCGCGCUCUAGUGGCCAAGCGAAAUCACCAUCAUCAUCAACAGCAUCAUUAUCAACAGCAGCGAUGGCUCAAACAAAGGAAAUGCACAAAUGGACACCACAGGAGACCAGACACCUCAUUAAUUUCAGGUCGACCAGGGACAAUGAGUUUCUCAAGUCAAAAAUGAUCGCCUGAAAACAGUGGGAGUGAGUCUUACGUUGUUCAAUCUUUUCAUUCUUGCGUCUGUUUUCUACUUUGGUAUUUCUGUGUUGAGCUCAAUAGCCCACUGAAUGUCUGUGUCGUUAUACUGUACGUUGGCUGUGAUGUAGGCUUUUUCUGGAAGAAAUGGGGAUGGAGGGAAAAGUUACAAGGCAACAGGCUUCUAAGAAGUGGGAAAACCUCAAAAAGAAGUACAAGGAUUUGAGGACUCCCAAAACUGGGUCGGGGACGGAAAGUGGGGAGGUGACAGUGGCGACGUGGCAGUAUUAUGAUUUGAUGCACAAGGUUCUUGGUGCCCGGCCAACAAUCGACCCACCAGUCCUUGUGUCCUCGAUUCAAGAAGACCCCAUGGUUAUCCUCAUGGAGAUGGUGGAGCCCUACAACCAAGCACCCCCGACAGCAGCCAGCACCCCAGUACACCCGCCGACCACAUCAAUCAUGCGAAGGAGGUCCAAAACAGUUGCAGAACUCCUGGCUGAGGAGGCACUUCAGGAGCAGAGGCGCCAUGAAGAGAGUGAGGCCAAGACAGAUCGCUUUCUUGAUCUCUUUGAGAGGAUGGUCAACAAAUUAUAAUUAUUGAUUUUUGUUGUUCCUAUGUUUUUGGUAUGCUAUUUAUUAUUCCUAUUUAUUAUUGUUGUAUAUAUUUCUAUUUAUUAUUUUAUGCUAUUUAUUAUUCCUAUUUAUUAUUGUUAUAUAUAUUUAUAUUUAUUGCUAUUUAUUAAUUUAUGCUAUUUAUUAUUCCUAUUUAUUAUUGUUAUAUAUAUUUCUAUUUAUUAAUUUAUUAUUACUAUUUAUUAUUAUUAUUGUAUAUAUUUAUUGCUAUUUAUAAAUGUAUGCCAUUUUAUAACUUUAAAUUAUAUUUCUAAUUUAAAGUUACUUGUUGAACAAUUAAAUGUUCUUGUUUACAAAAGUUUUUUCUAUGUGUGAUAAAUGCUACAAGAAGCAGAUAGUUUUAAAACAUUUAUCAAUCAGUUUUAAAACAACUAUCAAUCAACAAAUAAAUAACACAGUAUGAACAUAAUCAUCAGGAUAAACUUGUAAGGGAACAUAAACCAACAGGUAACGGUAGAAAAACUAUUUUUAAGUAGUUUUAAGUAAGCAUAUAAAAACCAACAAGAAAAACUAUUUACAAGUGAUAAGUAAGCGUAAUAAAGACCAACAAGAAAAACUAUUUACAAGUGAUAAGUAAGCGUAAUAAAAACCAACAAGAAAAACUAUUUACAAGUGAUAAGUAAGCGUAAUAAAAACCAACAAGAAAAACUAUUUACAAGUGAUAAGUAAGCGUAAUAAAAAACCAACAGGUAACUGUAGAAAAAACUAUUUACAAGUGAUAACAUUUAAAAUUCAUAUGAGACUUGGGCAGCCAGUGAGUCUCGGAUAGCAAAUCCUGGUGUUUCAUUUAUUCCAAUUUGUUCUUGAGGGGGAUGGGGGUCAAGGUCAUCCCUGGCAAUGUCUGCAUCAGGAUCCAGUGUUUCCAUUGUUUAAGCAGACAUUGUGCAAGAAGGCACAGGAAGCAAUGACCUGGGGGGCAAAGGUAGGCUUGACUUCGAGCGCCCGGAAAAGGGUUGACCUCCACCUUGUCUUCAUCAUCCCGAAGGCCCGCUCUAUUACAGAACGCGCCUUGGAUUGGCGGUAAUUAAAGCGCUGCUGCACCCGCCCAAUCACCGGCUCUUUGUAGGGAGUCAACAGACAUACGGGCGUCUGGAGGCAGGGGUACCCACCAUCACCUAAGAGCAUGUAACCCGGCGGUGGAUACCUGGCAGUCAAAUAAAAGGGACUGUUUUUCAUUACCCUUGUGUCAUGGACAGACCCUGGGUAGCCCACAAAAAUGUCCAAAAAUGUCCCCUUUGCAUCACAUAUGGCCUGCAUGUUAAUUGAAUAGAAAUUCUUAUAAUUUAGAUAGUCUAAUCGAUGUCGUUGUGGUGGCUUGAUCCGAAUAUGGGUUCCAUCUAUCGCCCGACAACAUUUACAAAAGCAGGGGUCCCUGAUAGAUCGGCAAACCCUUGCCCUACUGCUUUCAGCUCCUCAUAGGCCUGUGGGAAGGAGAUCACCCUGUUCAAAUUGUUCCAUAUACUUUGUGCCACCCGGUGUAUUACUCUGUGCACAGUUGCCUUUGGUACACUGAACACACUGGAUACCACCCGGUAUGACAGUCCAUGGGCAAGCCAAUAGACGUAGAUCAGGAUUUCAAAUUGAUUCCCCCAACCAUGAUCUUGCCCCCUGUCCAGGAGCCUCUGCAGGCUGUUCAUGGCACGUCUGGACAGGCGAAAGUCUUGCCACAGUUCAGCCCCCUCAUCGCGCCAUAUCCGCAGGAUGGGCACAGUCGCAUCCACCCUGCAGUACAUAGGUGGACGAUCCGCCUGGAGAAACAAAAAGACUGAUUUUCAAACUGGGGUCGAGAUGAUGCGUCAUGAAAUGUCAAAGCCUCUCAGCCAGAUGAACCACCAAAGUGGUUCGAUCAAAUCAUUUGAGAAUUCAUAAAUCAUUUGUCUAAGAUUUUCAUAUCGCGAUACAGCACAACGUAAUUUCGCCUGUGAAUCCUACUCGAUACGGAGCUUCGCUGGGGAGGAGCCGACACCUACUUGACACACGCCCCGAUGCCUCGACGCAAACCAUUACAUCACUAUUUAAAACCACUUGAUGAUAACAUUUCCUAACUCACCCGGCACUGACAAAAAUAAAUUAACACAUAGGCCUACAUGGUUAAAAAACAGAUCGUAUACAAACACAUACGAGAGCUAGCCUACAUUUCCAGCUGAGCCGGCUGGUUAACUGAUAGGCCUAUUUCAUACAAUGAAAAAAUAAAGAAGUUAUACGUACCAUCAUUUGAUUCGUCAGCAGACGUAUGCGUUGGUGGUACAUUCGUCGCCUCCGGUGUCUUUCUUUAGCAGCAGACAGGCGUAGAAACAGAAAAAUGGCCAAGGCAACCGACAUUAUAACCGGUGAGGACGGCAUCAUGAAUGAAUAAUUAAUGCGACUCAAUUGCCGCCUUUGAGAGGGGUCUGUGCGCGUGGAACUCAACUGUAUUUCCUUCUGAACACCCACUGAUCGUAACUAAUACGAAUUAACGUUUUAACAUUAUUUAGGAUCUUCAUGCUCUUCCACCGGCACAUUUUACGUGUUUCCAUCGGUAAUUGUCUACUUUUAAUAAAGAAACCAAAUGCAAUAUGUUCUUGUACUGUUGUGCUUUGAUAUAGUGGUCAGUUAGAAUGAAGAUCAAAUCACAUUCCAGUGACCAUAAUGUGUUUGUGCAUGUAAGACAUGGAUUUUUGUAGCCUAUCAACAAAUUAUUCACGACAAGACACGUCUGUGAGGCAACGCAACGUAUGCUUGAUCUGAAACAUGCCUACUCGUUGCCUCUGUUGACAUAGCAGUCAGCUGUCCGCAGUCAGCGACGAUGAAGCCACGUAAUGGAGGGGCGUCCCAUUUCCUAGGGGAACGUUUUACCCCUCUGUAUUGAGGGGCAAGGGGAAGGGGUAAGGGGGAGGGGUAAGGGGGAGGGGUAAGGGCUAGAAAUGGGAUUGGGCCUUGAUCAGAGGUGAGUUACAUUAAGACAAGGUUGUGGCUAUGCUUACGGCGCGCCGUAAAAAUAGCUAGUGGCUAUGCUUACGGCGCGCCGUAAAAAUACUGCAUUAGUCUAUUUUCACGGCAGGUUAUGGCUAGGGUUAAUUAAUAUAAUUAAUUACUAUAAUUACCAUGGCUAUUUUUACGGACACGGGUCACGUGACAAGCUGCCGUCGGUCAUGUGACAAGCUGCCGUACGAAUAGCCUAAUUGCUAUUCUUACGGUCGCCGUACGAAUAGCCACUGCCUUUUUUUUUAAAGCGGACUCCAAGAAUCACAAUUAUUCCAAUGUACCUGUACUUCUGCUGUGCAAACGACAAUAAAUAACUUGAAUAUUGAAAAGUUGUAGUCUUUACUGUACUGUAGUCUGUACUCUACGCUUAGCUACUGCUACUGAACAAACACCACUGAACAGGGAUGAAAACAGCUUCCUGCCUAGACUCAAACUGUGGUGCCUCGCUCUUCCUCAUCGACCUGUAGCACAAGGCUCUCACGCUGACCUGCACUGUCAGCUUGUCUUUAUUGGACACUGAAUGAAAUAACACAUACAAAUUCAUUAAGCAUCAAUUGUACUGGGUUACUCCAUCAUCACAUCUAUAACAUGUUACUACAUGGAAAGAAACGUUAGGUAGCUAAGUAAUAUUACUUUUAUGUACACAAAACCGUGGCUAUAAAUUAAACUAUUAUUACUCAACACAACAGGCAAACAUCAAGGCUGAUAUAAAACACUGGUUAAGAAAUCUCAUUGGAAUUUGCUGUUUCUGCAUCGUAAUACACGUUAGAAAGUGACAGUUAAUGGACAGACUAGACUUUGACAGUUGCUAGCGUCUGUUAGACGUAGUUGUCUUUCCUUCGUAGCUGUGAAUAUAGGUCACAGCAUACAGCCUAAACCCCUUCUCCAAUUUGCUUGUCGGAGUUUUCGUUUCCCUACAUAAUCGAUAUACAUCAGUGAUGUUUAUUGUCGGCAGCUCUUGUAAACACAGGGUGUAGAACGUCGCCAUAUUUGACCGGAAGCUGUGAAGCUGUAUUACGGCGAAUCAGGAAGUGCUUGUGCAAGUAGCCUAUUCGCGUUCUUUUCUGUACUUGUGUGCUUGCGUUCUUGUGAAACGUCAUCAGUCGUAGCCCAAGUACUGUUCCAAUUCAAGGGCUGUGUCCCAAUUCAUAGGACGCAUCCUUCGUAGACCGCGUCCUUCGAAGGAUGCGGUCUACGUAGACCGCGAAGGACACUCCGAAGGCCGAAGAAAUGGGACGGUCUAGCUUUCGGAGCAUUUCCGGUUUACGUAACAAACCGUUACCGCCCUUUACCUUGCGUGACCACCACCCGCUGCUCCUGUCACCGCAAUCCUGACAGCUGACCUGACCUGUUAGUAAACAGAAGUUAUACCGGACAGCGCGGGAAAAAAAACAACAAAGAAACCAAAUAAACCAACAAAGAAACCAACAAAAAUGGAGCCACAAAUUAUAAUUUUAUUUUUUAUCUUUUAUUUGAGGAGUUGGGGAAUACUCACCGCCGGAGCCGACGGGGGAUAUAUCUUCGGCUCCGAGUAAGUGACGACCACAGAUUGGUAAACCUGUGUUACCUUACUUUUAACCAGCAGUAUUGUUGACAUUAUCGUGUUAUAUGGCUAGCGUAAAUGUAAAUGUCAUUGAACUUUUACAAUAUAAUUACAUAUUUAAAAUAGUCUCAACCUUACAUUAAUAUAAAAAAAAAAAUCUGUCAUUAAUCAGCUAAAUAAAGGUUG